Molecule: ribosomal RNA, 492 nt
Filed under: uncultured bacterium
Lineage: Bacteria
Description: partial 16S ribosomal RNA
Rfam family: Bacterial small subunit ribosomal RNA
Source: RNAcentral
AGUGAACGCUGGCGGUAGGCCUAACACAUGCAAGUCGAACGGCAGCACAGUAAGAGCUUGCUCUUACGGGUGGCGAGUGGCGGACGGGUGAGGAAUACAUCGGAAUCUACUUUUUCGUGGGGGAUAACGUAGGGAAACUUACGCUAAUACCGCAUACGACCUACGGUUGAAAGCAGGGGAUCUUCGGACCUUGCGCGAUUGAAUGAGCCGAUGUCGGAUUAGCUAGUUGGCGGGGUAAAGGCCCACCAAGGCGACGAUCCGUAGCUGGUCUGAGAGGAUGAUCAGCCACGCUGGAACUGAGACACGGUCAAGACGCCUACGGGAGGCAGCAGUGGGGAAUAUGGGACAAUGGGCGCAAGCCUGAUCCAGCCAUACCGCGUGGGUGAAGAAGGCCUUCGGGUUGUAAAGACCUUUUGUUGGGAAAGAAAAGCAGCAGGUUAAUACCCCGCUGUUCUGACGGUACCCAAAGAAUAAGCACCGGCUAACUUCGUG